RNAcentral lists this ribosomal RNA (774 nucleotides) under uncultured Neocallimastigales. RNAcentral describes it as "partial large subunit ribosomal RNA". It matches the Rfam family "Eukaryotic large subunit ribosomal RNA", at positions 24 to 629 of the family's 3401-position model. Lineage: Eukaryota; Fungi; Neocallimastigomycota; Neocallimastigomycetes; Neocallimastigales. The record is from RNAcentral.
UAUGUGAUCGUCUCUCGCAUAUCAAUAAGCGGAGGAAAAGAAACUAACAAGGAUUCCCCUAGUAACGGCGAGUGAAGCGGGAAGAGCUCAAAUUUGAAAUCUUAAAGGGUUUCCCUUUACGAAUUGUAGUUUAAAGAAGUGUUUUCUGUUGAGGUUUUGGUAAAAGUUCUUUGGAAUAGGACAUCAUAGAGGGUGAGAAUCCCGUAUUUGACCUUUACUUUCAACUUUGUGAUACACUUUCAAAGAGUCGGAUUGUUUGGGAAUGCAGUCCAAAAUGGGUGGUAAAUUUCAUCUAAAGCUAAAUAUUGGCGAGAGACCGAUAGCGAACAAGUACCGUGAGGGAAAGAUGAAAAGAACUUUGAAAAGAGAGUUAAACAGUACGUGAAAUUGUCAAAAGGGAAGCGUUUGACACCAGUGUUGUCUUUCUGAAAAUCAAUUAAAGAACUGUUUAUGCUAAGCUGUUUAGACUUUAUCAGCUAUCUGUUUAGUUUUGAGCUUUUCUUUAAUGCACUUUUCAGUUAACAAGUCAACAUCAAUUUCUUUUGCUGUAAAAAAGCUUGAGGAAGGUGGCUUGAGAUUCGUCUUAAGUGUUUAUAGCCUCUUGCCUAUGCAGUCGGAGAGAUUGAGGUCUGCAGCGUAGAUCCUUCGGGGCUAAAUGCAUUUGUGCUAAGUUAUAGCAUUUUAUAGACAACUUGUUGACUAUGAUUUGUCUUGUAGCUUACUCGCUUAUGUUAUUUUACCUACGCUUAGGAUGUUGAUAUGCAUGACUGAUAU